AGGAGGAGUUGACAGGAAGGCCUCGCCUGUGUCUUGUCCAAUAUUCCCAGCAGAAUAGGCCCACUGGAGCCCAGAGGUAGCUACAGCCUAUCUGGUGAGCUUCCCCAGGGGGCUCAGGACUGGUGGGAUGGGAUGAUGGGCCCCUCAGUGUCUAUAUAGGGUGGGAUGGUGGGCCCCUCAGUGUCUAUAUAGAUAGCAAGUGUCCUCAUCAUGCUCUUCACCAAAACAACCGUCACCAGGAAGCAGCAAGCAGAGGCCACUCAUGGGGGACUGGGGCCUACGGUUUUCUCAAAAUGUCCUUAAACCAGAGCCAGUCCUGUCGUGCAAAGCUGAGGCUCCAAGGUAGGGAGGUAGCCACAGGAGGCCUGGGCCAUUCAUUUCUCUUUUAAAGACAAUGGCCUCCUGCUGCUUCCUCAGCCUUAUGGUUCCAAUAAAGAGUCCUUGAUCGAUUGCACAACCUCUGUUCCCUAUUGCCAAAUGUCCCCAAAGCCAGACUGAGAAACAGCCUGCCCGCUGCCCCCAUAAAGUGCUAUUUCACAUGCCCUGACCCAAUCCUAGACUAGAAAGAGGCCCCCUUGAUUCCACUCCCGCAGCCUGGGGUAAGAGCAGACCACGAGAAGUGCACUGUAGUCCAGCUCCCAAUGGCUACAAUUAUAAAAUUAAAUGGUAUAACUUGCAUGAUGGCUGCAAAUCUCCAUGGCUGGCCAUUUCUUCCUGCUGCCAGGCCCCUUGGCACAGUUGACAUUGUCUCAAAUUCCAGACCAGAAAAAAAGGGCCCACUAUAUUGCAGUGAUUUUAUCAUUAACGAGACCUGUUUGGCUCCAAAAUGAGGAAAAACACUUAAGCAUAAUAUUUAUGUAGUUCAAAUGCAAUGGCCCCUCUUGUCAUGUGUCACCAAGGCAAAUCUGGACUCUGAUUCAGCGCUCCAGCCCACAACAGGAGACUUGAACGCAAACAGCCUGAGUCACGCAGGCUCAGCAUGCAUGUGGGAGGCCUGUUCUUGGCUGCGUAUUUUAAGCACCGGCUUUGUGGAUGAAAGGCCAUGGGGCCAGGUCUUGCAGCAACCCCCAUCAUCCCUUUCCCUCAGAAGUAUGAAAAUGUCUUUUUUCUAGAGCGCUCUGUGUUGGUCAGCCAUGGUGUGACUCAGUGCCUCUGGAUGAAGCCUUCCUUAGCUCCUCCCUCCUCUUAUCUCUGCCAUAGAUCCUUGGCUUCCUGAUGAUCAAACUGAAAAAUCUGCAGUUUUCUUGCAGAAAAACAAACAAUUCCAAUGGAACAACCAUUCAAAACAUAAUAACUCAGCCCUUUAACCUCCUACCACAGUCUAAUGCCUGGCAUUACGAGUUGGGGUAAAGAAGAAGGCAGGAACAAUGAUUGUGGAGAGCUCUAUCUGCCUCAGAAAUAAUGCCAGUCGGCAAAGGCUGCCGGCAGGUUUUGUGCUCAUUUCAAAACUUCACAUUCCUCAGGCACUUAGUGGCAUUUUUGAAGAACACUGUGUCAAGGACAGUGGGUGACCCAGGAGAGUGAUGUGAGCGAGGUCAUUCUGAAUACACAGCACUUGACGUGGUAGAGUCUACAGCCACAGCUUGGAAAAACAGCUCUUGGCAGUUGUGUCUCUCUUAGCCAGCAAGCGUGGGGACCUGUGCCACGGAGACACCCAACAGGAAUCAUCAUUCCAGGUAAGCCAGUCCUGUGGUCAGGCACAACGUGAGGUAUUUUUUGUUUGUUUGUUUCUUUGUUUUUUAUUUUAAUUAGUCCCCCUCAUUACUAUAUACUUAGAAAUGAGAGCUUUAACUUGUGAGCAAUUUCUAUACCAGCUGAUACCUGCCAAAAUUGUAGUCAUUUAUAGAGAUUAACUGAUGACUGUCUGCUUUAGCAGAAGUGUUCAGGCAUAACUCUCAGAGAAAACAAUUCUUCACUCUAAGCUGUUUUCUAAGCCCUGGGAGUCUCAGGGCUGAGUUUAAUGCUGGAGGAUUGGGGAAGAGCCCAUUCCACUCUCCCCACGUGUGUUCCUGGGAGUCAGUAGGAACGUUAUUGCCUUGGUAGGGGUCUUGACCCUCAGGCUCACAAUGGUGCUGGAGAGCUGUGACACCAAGGCACAGGGGAAAUGAGAAGCAUUAUCAUAUUCAGGGUGUGGUUUGGAUGCACUUACAAGCUAGAUCGAAGGAACAUCUAAUUCUUACUUUCUGAAACCAUCAGACCUCAUGUGCCAAAUAGCAAUAUUUUGCAUGAAAUAUAGGAACUUCCGAUAUAAACUUUCAAGCUGGGGAAAAUGAAUACUUUAUGUCUUCAGUUUCCUGUAUCUGUGUUCAGUUAAAAGGCUCAUUUGCCCCCCGAAUGUUAAAUAGAGGAGUAUGGAAAAUGUCUACUAUCCAAUUCACUUUUCUUCUUUCUCACUGAGUACCGGGCUUUAGAGGGCAACAGGGAAUUCGACCCUGGGUCAAGCCCUUGGGUAGAACCAGGAUGCAGCUCUGAACACCUGCAUGCUGGCAGCUUGGCUUCUUCAGCAUGUUUGGAAUCAACUGUGAAUGUUUACAGGGCGGUGCUUUAAAGUAGUGGGCACAUCAAGAUUUCACCCUGGGACAUCUUAAUCUUAAGCAGAGUUGAAAAAGGUCCUAAAUUCUUCUAGUACCAUUUUCUCAUUUUUGAAAAAAAUGAAAGUACUUGCUUGGAAUUUUAUUAUGUAUGCAGAGUCAUAAAAAUCCAAAAAAGGGGAAAAAAUUGUAUAUAAUAAAAAUAAGUCAAUGCCGUUUGCAAAAUUUUACUUCAUUCCAAAGGCAUUCCUAUUGUUUUCGGGGUUGGCUGCUCAUUAGGCCAUCCUUAAAUGUUAUGAUAUUUUGUGACGGAUAGUGAGACCAGCUUUCACUUUUCUGCCAUACAAAAUAAACUGAGCAGGUAUGCAUAUCUCGUUGAUAACCGAGCUGCCUUUUUCAAGACACCAUUGUGAUCUGUGGCUGUAAGUAACAUAAAUGUAAUAUAUGAUCUUCCAUUAAAGAAACCAGAUAAGGUUAAAUUGCCACCGUUUCUUGGAAAAUUUUGGUUAGAUAGAAUAAAGAAUUUUCUGGCAGUCAACAACAUAUUAGUCUAUGUUUCCGAUAUGGGUUUACUAGUUUUCUUGAUAGAUUCUUAGCAGAAAAAUGAGGAAGGUAUAUACUCAGAAGACUGUCAUGAUGAGCCGUUGAGCCAAAUCUAUGCAAAAGCAUAAUACCAAAAAGAUAUAUUUCUCUCUGUAUAUACAUGUAUAAAAUUGUGGUUCUUCUAAAAGCAUAUAAGAAUUUUAUAUAGUCAAUUUUAAAAGGAUAUCUGUAUUUCAGAAGAUGUUGGCCAGUCAAUUGGAUACUCACUACAUGAAUCUGGAUAUAAAAAUAUGGGGUUUUCUUCCUUUGAUUUGCUACUGUUUUAUGACAAUGGAAAAGAAAUCAAUGUGUGUAGAGAACAGCUUACUUUUCCUGGUAUCACAGUCUAACCUUUAGGUUGCAGGGUCAUUAGGAUUUCAAAGUGACAGUACUGAAUGUGACUCUUCCUGAAGCCCCUUGCAGAUGGUAAAAUAAAUCUCCCUAAUUGCAAACCUAACCAUAUGCUGGCUAAUUUAAUGUUGGGAAAUAUUCUUCAAUAUUAUUUACCAUACCACAUGUAUAUUAUAUAUACUAUAUAAUAUAAACUAUAUAAUGGUAUAUAGUAUGUCAGUAUACAUUCUAAUUCAUAUUAUAUAUGCAUGCUUAUAUAUUGUCCAGUGCUACGUAACUAUGGGUAGCCUCACUUUCCCCCACCCCAAUUUCUUCUCAUAUCGUUAAGCUAAGACAACACCACAAGGUUGGAGUACUUCAGAACUGGAGAAUGGCCACAGAAAUCAGCCUUGGUUUUUAACUAAUGUGUGGGAAGUGAGGUUCAGAGAGGUUAUGUCAUUUGCCCAAUCUCACACGGCCAGUUACAGGAAGAGGGCAGGUCUGAAAACACACACACUCUCAACACCCACCGACACACACACUCGGAAUGUACACUCAGUGCACCUAGAAAUUCAACACCCACGGACACACACACUCAGAUAUGUACACUCAGUGCACCUAGAAAUUCAACACUCACCGACACACACACUCGGGAUGUACACUCAGUGUGCCUAGAAAUUCAACACCCACCGACACACACACUCGGGAUGUACACUCAGUGCACCUAGAAAUACACAUUUCUGUGAACUCAAAGCGAACAGGGUGGAGAAGUGCACAAUGCUUCAUAGUUUUAGAUCUCAGAGACACGAAAGCACUUGAACUUUUGCAUUCUGCCUCAACCAUCUCACUUCUGCUCCCAGUGUGUGUGUAGAAUCAGAAGACAGCCCCAGCCACACUGUGACCUGCAGGCUGUGAGGCUGUGUUUCACCUGCUUGAGUGGGCAAUGGAAUUACCUGGGCAUUCUAGUUUGGUAGGUUGGUCUAGGGUGAAGGGCCUGAGAAUUUGGAGUUCUAAUAAGGUCCCAGGUGAUGCUGAGGCUGCCGAUACAGGGAGCACGCUGGGAAUAUCUGCAUGAGAGGGAGAGCUCCUCCUGAUACUCAAGCUUCCAAUGUGCAUUACUACUUCCCUUCUCCUGCCUGCUUCUGAUUUGCUGUGUGCUGGGGAGAAACACGCGAACUAAAUAUGCCUGAACUGUGUUUAGACUGUGUUCAUGAGCAAUGACUGACGGCCUCCUUUUGGUGAUAACUAUUUGGCCGUCUUUUCAUUUUUUUAACUCUUCAAUACACACAGAGCAGCUGAAAAUGCCCAAACUCUGCCCUGCAGAUAGGCCGGUGUGUGACCGUCUCUGUCUCCUACAAUAACUGGGCACAUUCUGUCAGAGUCACUGUCAUGAUAAUCAGUCUGAUUGCUAAGGUGAACCCCAGAUUCUCAAGUAGGAAGUAAUUUCUGCUGUGCCAUCUAUAGAAAGACUUUGGGGAAUGGCAGGGAAGGGUUACAUGGAACCUUUAUUCCGUUCCACAAAUGCAGCAGUUAAGUUCUCUGAGUGCCCACAGGACCGGGUGUUAAUGCAGAUGCCACAAUCCUCCUCCCCUCUAGAGAAACAACAUGGUCCCAGGGAAACGUGAAUGCUAGAGUAGGCGUUAAGAAUUCUCCAUUCUAAAUCUGCUUUUCUACCAACCUUUGCUGUGGACAAGAACAAGUCUCUUCAUCACUGAGGCUCCGUAUCUGGAAGCCUGGAAUUAAGAGACUAAGAAGGAUUACUCCAAGGGACUCUAAAAGCAUCCACAACAAUUACAUCUGCUGCCAUUAUCUACUCAACUGGUUCUAAGCACGGUCUUUCUUGAACAACUUCUAAUGAGGUUACGACUUUCAAAGUUUUCCCUUUUGUCUUUUUUCAGGCAGACACCUGGCUGCGGGAGCCACUGCCAAGUCUAGCUGUCAGGAAGUUGUCAGAGGCUGCACCUGGGAAGAAAGCCACUCUGCGGAACACUCAUCCAGGCUCUCAUUUCCCAGCUUCUUGUCUGGGUUGGAAAACAAUGAGACAUCUGCCCUGAAUGCCCACCUUUUCCAUCAGUGGCAGUAGGCACAUAAGUCUUAGAUGAGGAAUCUGAGGGUCUAAGAGGAGACAUGAGCUGCUGAGAUUGACUGAGCUAGCAGGGCCAGACAUAGACUCCACGGGCAGGCCCGCAGUCUUUCCACCAGGUCAGGCCACUCCCUCGCCCAGGGCUCAAGAUUCCUUUUAGAGUUCAACAGAGCAGCUCCCGAGAACAGACCAGCCCUCAAGACUCAAAUUUCAGUGGUUUCCAGUUCUUUCUCCCUGCACUCAGCUACCUAUUUAUUUUGAGACUGGCUGAAUCACCCGAAGAAUAGAACGGGUUUCUCUGAAGCUGCUCCCGGCAGCAUGUCAGCAAAUGAACAGGACAGCGAGCUGGCCUCUGGAGCCUUGGAAGAUUCUCACCUCCAAGCAGCUGCAGUUUUUGACUCGUCCUGGGAAACUGGCACUGAGACUCAGGGGUGUAACAUUUCACCUCCCUGAAAUCAAAUCCAGAAAUCUCAGGCGAGCAGCAUAUAUAAAAAGCCACAGGGGAAAAAAGGAAUACGGACUCAGCAACUCUUAGGUGCUCUGAGCCUCUUCCCAAGCCUUCUGGUUCUGUGAGCAUUUCAUUGAAAGAAAAUGGAAUAACAGAGUUUUAGAAGAAAAACUGUAUUUGGUCUUGCAAGAGAAAAGUAUAUUCAUAUAAAACUCAGUUCUCAACUAUUUGCCAAGGUUACUUCUUUUGUUUCCAACAUUUAAAAAGGGUAUCUAGUUGUAGGUAGAGAAAACAUUAAGAUAUGUGAAUGGAAAAAGGUAAAAUUUCUAAAAGUAUGGAUUCACAGUGGGGUCUGAUUUAAAUGUUUAAAUUUUUUCUCUUUAAUUUCUUCUCACCAAUCCUGAAAGACACGACGAGAUAAUAUCUACUUUCAAUAAAUCAAUUAAUUUUAUUUAAAAUCCCUAAGAUUUUAAUAUAGUACAUGCAAAACAAUAAUAGAUUUUCUAUUUUUUAAUUAUCUAAUUAUAUUUAUAUUAUCUAAUUGACAGACUACUUAAAAAGCACAUUGAUAUAUAUUAUCUCAAUGUGUCCUCAAGAACCCUGUGCAGUAGGCAGAACUCAUAGUAUUAUUCCCAUCUUAUAGAUGACCCAGGGGAAGCUUCUAGAUGCUCAGAGCUUUGCAGGUCACACAACAGCAUAGGUGCUUCAUGUUAAGAAGCAGAACUGCAUUUUGAUAAAACCUUUAAUUGGAAAAAGAUCACCUCUCCCUCAAGGAAGUAGGGCAACAUGGUUGACAGGGUUAUGUUUCAAUGAGGAAUACAUUUGUUGAAGCCAGUUCAGUGAUGCAGUAAUUGGAAUUAAUAAUAGGUAGUAUGGAAGGAAAAGAGAAAAAGCCCUUAUUGUACUGUAUUGUGAGGGCCAAAUCUGCCAAGCUUUUUUUUUUCUUCUUUUUUUUUAAGUACUUGGCAAUGGUAAAUAUUUGGCCCCCACUUGAACAGAAUUCCAUUUGUUUCCUCUCAUAAGGUCUUUGGGACAUGGUCAAGGGGCCUACCCGUCUAGAGCAUGUGCUUUAAUAAUAGCAGCUAAUAUUUAAGGAACACUUCUGUGCCCAGCACGGUGCUAUGCCCUAACAUGAAUUAUUUUAUUCAAUCCGCACAAUAAUCCCCAACAGAGGGAUAUCAUACUCCUGGUUUUAUACCCAAGGAGGCUGAGGGUGGGGAGGUUAAUCUGAUCCCGAAGGGGAGGCCAGGCUGAAUCAGGAAGCCAGCUCUGGAGCUUCGCCAUCAGCCACUGCUCCAGCUCGCCUUUCAGGCUAUCUCUUUUAAUCCUCACAUCCCCUAGCAAGAGAGGUAUCAUGCAGUCCAUUCUACAGAUGGGAAAACUGUGAAACGCAGUUUUAGACUUGAAGCUCCAAACUCCUUUCUCGCUCACCGAGGCUACCUGAGCACCCUGGUUCACUUUAUUUUUUGAGACAGAGUCUCACUCUGUCACCCAGGCUGGAGUGCAGUGGAGCAAUCUCGGCUCACAGCAACCUCUGCCUCUCGAGUUCAAGUGAUUCUCCUGCCUCAGCAUCCCGAGUAGCUGGGAUUAUAGGCGCCUGCCACCAUGCCCGGCUAAUUUUUGUAUUUUUAGUAGAGACGGGGUUUCACCAUGUUGGCCAGGCUGGUCUCGAACUCCUGACCUCAGGUAAUCGGCCCACCUCGGGCUUCCAAAGUGCUGGGAUUACAGGCGUGAGCUACCGCGCCCAGCCCCCUGGUUCACUUUUGAAACACUGGGCUAUGCCUGGCGAGUAGUGUCCGAGAGGCGCGUGGGACGUGGCUCCGCAUAUUUCUCCUAGCUCUUUCAAAUGAAUGAACUGGAAAUAUCAUACAACCACUUCAAAGGUAAGUGAAAAUAAGGUGGUACCAGGAAAAUAUUCAAAGGGCCAUAAAUCUAUGUAGUAUCUAGGAACUUAUUUCAAAUGUUUACUCUUUAUUUUAAAUAAUCAGAAUAUGACUUUUAAGCCAUGGUGAACAAAAACAAAUACAAAAUCAAACAAGUAUCAAAUGUUCGACAUUUCAGUAUAUGGAAGUACACUGAAAGAUUUCAAUAGCAGUCUGGGUUUUUGUCAAUAAUUGCUUUAAUGGAAACUAAGUAUAUGUAUAUCAUGAAAGUACCAAACCAAUGUACUGCCUUUAAAUAACUUUCUAGGGGUCUUGAGAGUUGGCAGAUUGAUUCCAUUGUGUUACUUUUUGAAAAGGCAAACAGAAAAGAACUUUGCUUUGGGUACAUAUAUAUAUAUAUAAUAUAUAUAUAAUAUAUAUUAUAUAUAAAAUAU
RNAcentral lists this long non-coding RNA (8291 nucleotides) under Homo sapiens (human). Its description in RNAcentral is "HSALNT0403957". Lineage: Eukaryota; Metazoa; Chordata; Mammalia; Primates; Hominidae. The record is from RNAcentral.